RNAcentral lists this ribosomal RNA (3247 nucleotides) under Candidatus Saccharibacteria bacterium oral taxon 488. Its description in RNAcentral is "23S ribosomal RNA". It matches the Rfam family "Bacterial large subunit ribosomal RNA". The record is from RNAcentral. Lineage: Bacteria; Candidatus Saccharimonadota.
AAAAGGUACUCAAGGGCGCUAAAUGGAUGCCUAGACGUAUAUUACCGAAGAAGGACGUGGAAGACUGCGAUAAGCCUCGGGAAGCUGUCAACAAGCUUUGAUCCGGGGAUUUCCGAAUGGGGAAACCCAGCAUGAGUCAUGUCAUGUUGCCACUUGCUGAACACAUAGGCAAGCGAGCGGGAACCAUCUGAACUGAAACAUCUUAGUAGGAUGAGGAAGAGAAAGUAAAUAACGAUUGCGAAAGUAGUGGCGAGCGAAAUCGCAACAGCCCAAACCUUUUAAGUUUUUAAAUAUGAGACUGAACUUAGGGAAAAAGAGCAGCCGAUCCCGGCGGAUUUAUUCCGACGUACCGCGCGAUGAGAAAUCGGGAUUCCCGCAAAAUCGAGAGAUUUUAGAGGGAUUUCAGAUAAAACCGUAGGUUUUGUCUCAUAUUUAAAUAAGUUGAUAGACGAAUACUUAAUAAGGGGUUGUGAUAUUACAUAUGACCAAGUCAGAGAACUUCAGAGCAAUUUGAAGGUAUCUGAUUUGCGAUACCAGGCUAUCAGCUGGUAGUAAGGUAAGAAAAUGGCGUGGUUAGCAGAAUAGUUUGAAUGACUAGCCAAAGAGCGUGAAAGCCGUGUACGCGAAAACGACGCUGACCUUAUGUAUGUUUUAUCGAGUAGGACGGGGCACGAGAAACCCUGUUUGAAUCUGGCUGGACCACCAGCCAAGGCUAAAUAUAAUAUACGAUCGAUAGUGAACUAGUACAGCGAUGGAAAGGUGAAAAGAACCCCGGGAGGGGAGUGAAAUAGAUCCUGAAAUUUAGUGCCUACAAGGAGUCGGAGCCGGCUUGUCCGGUGACGGCGUGCUUUUUGUAGAACGAUCCAGCGAGUUAAUUUUUACAGCGAGGUUAAGUCAAUUGACGGAGCCACAGUGAAAGCGAGCCUGAAUAGGGCGUUUAGUUGUAAGGAUUAGACCCGAAACCGGGUGACCUAACCAUGAGCAGGUUGAAGCCACUGUAACAGGUGGUGGAGGACCGAACCAGGAUACGCAGCAAAGUGUUUGGAUGACUUGUGGUUAGCGGUGAAAUGCCAAUCGAACUCGGAGAUAGCUGGUUCUCCUCGAAAUAGCUUUAGGGCUAGCGUCGUGUUAGUAGCACAUGGGGGUAGAGCUCUGUAAAGGACUGGGGCGGGCAACUGUACCCACCCUUAACAAACUACGAAUACCAUGUGUGUAACCACGGCAGUUAGAACAUCGGUGCUAAGAUCGGUGCUCGAAAGGGAAACAGCCCAGACCAUCAUCUAAGGUCCCUAAAUUAACGUUCAGUGGGAAACAAGGUGAGAUUUCUUAAACAGCUAGGAUGUUGGCUUAGAAGCAGCCAUUCAUUUAAAGAGUGCGUAACAGCUCACUAGUCAAGAGAUCUUGCGUGGAAAAUGUAACGGGGCUAAAACGUUAUACCGAAGAUAUGGAUGUCAGAUUUAUCUGGCGUGGUAGAGGAGCGUUCCUAUCAGCAGUGAAGUCGAAUCGGAAGGUUCGGUGGAGCGGUAGGAAGUGAGAAUGCUGGAAUGAGUAACCAUAAGAGAGGUGAGAAUCCUCUCGGCCGUAAGAGCAAGGUUUCCUGAGCCAUGGUAAUCAUCUCAGGGUUAGUCGGGCCUAAGCCGAGGCGCAGAGCGUAGGCGAUGGACAUCAGGUUAAUAUUCCUGAACCGGUUAAGUUUUGUACACUGUUCACGGGGAAGUAAUCGAAGCGGAUUCAUGGUUUAUCCGUCCAACCGAGCGGGAACGCAAAGGGAGUGAAAGUGAUUCUUCAGAGUCGCGAUUUUGGUGAAAGCCCUGGCUAGAAAAGCAGGUGUACCUAGUGGACUUAGCCGCCCGUACCGCAAACCAACACAGGUGCUCGAGUCGAGUAGACUCAGGCUUACGAGCGAACCUUCGCUAAGGAACUCGGCAAUACAGCGACCGUAACUUCGGGAUAAGGUCUGCCCCCACUUCGGUGGAUAUCAGCCGCGUUCACUCAGUGAAUAAUAGGUUAAAGAGUACAUUUUUAAUCACAAAACGAAUUUUCUGAGACACGAGCAAACGAAUUGUUCUUUGAACGCGAAUCUCUGAUAUCUAACGAUGUGGGGGCCGCAGCAAAAGAGCCCACGGAACUGUUUAUCAAAAACACAGGUCUCUGCUAACAUGAAAGUGGAUGUAUAGGGGCUGACUCCUGCCCAAUGCUGGAAGGUUAAGGGGAGCGCUUCACGGUGCGAACUGAAGCCCUAGUCAAUGGCGGCGGUAACUAUAACCGUCCUAAGGUAGCGAAAUUCCUUGUCAGGUAAGUUCUGACCCGCACGAAUGGAGUAAUCAUGUGGGCACUGUCUCAGCGAAGGACUCGGUGAAAGUGCAUUGGCGGUAAAGAUGCCGUCUGUCCGUACCAGGACGAGAAGACCCCAUGGAGCUUUACUACAGCUUUACAUUGAAUACGGUUUCAACAUGUGUAGCAUAGGUGGGAGACGUUGAAGCAGAUACGCCAGUAUUUGUGGAGUCACCAAGUGAAAUACCACCCUUGUUGUGAUUGUGUUCUCACGCUGACCGUUAUCCGGUUAGCGGACCGUGUAUGGUGGGUAGUUUAACUGGGGCGGUUGCCUCCUAAAGAGUAGCGGAGGCGUUCAAAGGUUGGCUAACUUCGGAUGGAAAUCGAAGUGAUAGUGUAUGCGCAUAAGCCAGCUUGACUGUGAGGAGUACAUUCCAAUCAGAGACGAAAGUCGGAGCAAGUGAUCCGCUGUACGUACAUUUGUACAUGAAUGUGGGAUCGACAGCGCAAACGGAUAAAAGUUACCCUGGGGAUAACAGGCUUAUAGCGCCCAAUAGUUCACAUAGACGGCGCUGUUUGGCACCUCGAUGUCGGCUCAUCACAUCCUGGAGGGGGAGCACCUUCCAAGGGUUCGGCUGUUCGCCGAUUAAAGUGGUACGCGAGCUGGGUUCAGAACGUCGUGAGACAGUUCGGUUUAUAUCCGGUAUGGACGAUAGGAAACUUGAGAGGAUCUACCCCUAGUACGAGAGGACCGGGGCGGACGCACCUCUGGUGUAUCGAUUGUGGCCACCUGCUGCAUUGUCGAGUAGCUAUGUGCGGACUAGAUAAGCGCUGAAAGCAUAUUAAGCGCGAAACUAACCUCAAGAUAAGGUUUCCCUAUGAGGACACAGAAAGACUAUCUGUUUGAUAGGCGCAAGGUGGAAGUGCAGCAAUGCAUGGAGCUAAAGCGUACUAAUAGUCCCAUUGCCUUUUU